Molecule: ribosomal RNA, 506 nt
Filed under: uncultured bacterium
Lineage: Bacteria
Description: partial 16S ribosomal RNA
Rfam family: Bacterial small subunit ribosomal RNA
Source: RNAcentral
AUUGAACGCUGGCGGCAGGCCUAACACAUGCAAGUCGAGCGGCAGCGGAAAGUAGCUUGCUACUUUGCCGGCGAGCGGCGGACGGGUGAGUAAUGUCUGGGAAACUGCCUGAUGGAGGGGGAUAACUACUGGAAACGGUAGCUAAUACCGCAUAACGUCGCAAGACCAAAGAGGGGGACCUUCGGGCCUCUUGCCAUCAGAUGUGCCCAGAUGGGAUUAGCUAGUAGGUGGGGUAACGGCUCACCUAGGCGACGAUCCCUAGCUGGUCUGAGAGGAUGACCAGCCACACUGGAACUGAGACACGGUCCAGACUCCUACGGGAGGCAGCAGUGGGGAAUAUUGCACAAUGGGCGCAAGCCUGAUGCAGCCGUGCCGCGUGUAUGAAGAAGGCCUUCGGGUUGUAAAGUACUUUCAGCGGGGAGGAAGGUGUUGUGGUUAAUAACCACAGCAAUUGACGUUACCCGCAGAAGAAGCACCGGCUAACUCCGUGCCAGCAGCCGCAGUAA